Molecule: long non-coding RNA, 674 nt
Organism: Notolabrus celidotus (New Zealand spotty)
Lineage: Eukaryota; Metazoa; Chordata; Actinopteri; Labriformes; Labridae
Exons: 5
Source: RefSeq, a predicted model, not a curated record
UUCCUGUCCCGCUCCAUCUGCUCUGCUGAGAUUGAUGCAUCCAGGAGAAAUAGAAGUCUUGUGUGUCUGAUCAUGAGUGGUGUGAACGGCAACCCUCUGGGUGUUUUUAAAGGUUGGCGACCUGUCCACGGUGGACCCUGCCUUCUGUCUGAUGUCAGCUGGGAUUGGCUCCACCCCCCUCCUAACCCCUAACAGGAUAAGUGGUCAAGAUAAUGGAUGGAUGGACAACCGUUAGCAAUCUUGGCGUGCUGACCAGCUAGCUAGGUCGCAGAGGCAGCAGGCCAAGCAAGCUGACCCACACAUCCCUCUUCCCAGCGCCUCUACAGGCAUCCUGAAUUCUGGGUCUAUUCCGAGGUCUUCUUCCAGUUGGAGGCACCCAGAUUAAACACCCAAACCACCUCAGUUGUCACCUUUCAAUAUCAAGGAGUAAUGCCUCCACCUCCGGAUGUCUGAGGUCCUGAUCGUAUCUCCGAGGCUGAGCCGAGCCCCUCUUUCAGAGGCCACUAAAAUCUGCAAUCUCAUUCUUUUGGUCCCAGACUCUUCGCUGGACUAGAACCGCCAUGAACGUCAGGGGUGAGGGGUGAGGUCGCCGCCCAUGUAAAGCACAACGAGUAGCAGAGUAGAGUUGGCCCCUUCCUACCUCACUGACCUCCUCCACCACCAGGCCCCUUCCU